CACGGAAGCUUGCUCCGCUGGCGAGUGGCGAACGGGUGAGUAAUGUAUCGGAACCUGCCCGAUAGUGGGGGAUAACGUUCCGAAACUUACGCUAAUACCGCAUACGAUCUACGGAUGAAAGUGGGGGACCGCAAGACCUCAUGCUCGUGGAUGGGCCGAUAUCUGAUUAGCUAGUUGGUAGGGUAAUGGCCUACCAAGGCAUCGAUCAGUAGCUGGUCUGAGAGGAUGACCAGCCACACUGGAACUGAGACACGGUCCAGACUCCUACGGGAGGCAGCAGUGGGGAAUUUUGGACAAUGGGCGAAAGCCUGAUCCAGCAAUGCCGCGUGAGUGAAGAAGGCCUUCGGGUUGUAAAGCUCUUUUGUCAGGGAAGAAACGGUGAGAGCUAAUAUCUUUUGCUAAUGACGGU
This 409-nucleotide ribosomal RNA is filed under the name Janthinobacterium lividum. RNAcentral's name for it is "bacterial SSU rRNA". It matches the Rfam family "Bacterial small subunit ribosomal RNA", at positions 71 to 476 of the family's 1533-position model. The record is from RNAcentral. Lineage: Bacteria; Pseudomonadati; Pseudomonadota; Betaproteobacteria; Burkholderiales; Oxalobacteraceae.